GAGUGUCAGAUGUGUGAGAGGGGAAGCAAACAUUUUCGGACAUUGGAGAUUCGCGCUCGUAAAUUGUCAAAUUGGCCAUAACUUUUAAUUUGUUGCUGCCAACUGGGGUGGCAGCAGGGGUGGCAAGGCUUUCUUUUAGGGUGGCAUUUGCCACCCUAUGCCACCCCGGUAGAUCUG
Molecule: long non-coding RNA, 177 nt
Organism: Sander lucioperca (pikeperch)
Lineage: Eukaryota; Metazoa; Chordata; Actinopteri; Perciformes; Percidae
Exons: 3
Source: RefSeq, a predicted model, not a curated record